Molecule: ribosomal RNA, 468 nt
Filed under: uncultured bacterium
Lineage: Bacteria
Description: partial 16S ribosomal RNA
Rfam family: Bacterial small subunit ribosomal RNA
Source: RNAcentral
GACGAACGCUGGCGGCGUGCUUAACACAUGCAAGUCGAACGGAAAGGCCCUGCUUUUGUGGGGUGCUCGAGUGGAGAACGGGUGAGUAACACGUGAGUAACCUGCCCUUGACUUUGGGAUAACUUCAGGAAACUGGGGCUAAUACCGGAUAGGAGCUCCUGCUGCAUGGUGGGGGUUGGACAGUUUCGGCGGUUGGGGAUGGACUCGCGGCUUAUCAGCUUGUUGGUGGGGUAGUGGCUUACCAAGGCUUUGACGGGUAGCAGGCCUGAGAGGGUGACCGGCCACAUUGGGACUGAGAUACGGCCCAGACUCCUACGGGAGGCAGCAGUGGGGAAUAUUGCACAAUGGGCGGAAGCCUGAUGCAGCAACGCCGCGUGCGGGAUGACGGCCUUCGGGUUGUAAACCGCUUUCGCCUGUGACGAAGCGUGAGUGACGGUAAUGGGUAAAGAAGCACCGGCUAACUACGUG